RNAcentral lists this ribosomal RNA (1293 nucleotides) under Triticum aestivum (bread wheat). Its description in RNAcentral is "partial small subunit ribosomal RNA". The record is from RNAcentral. Lineage: Eukaryota; Viridiplantae; Streptophyta; Magnoliopsida; Poales; Poaceae.
AUGUCAUUCUUGAAGGCGUGGGAGGUGGUCCGCACCUGCGUGCUCGCGCGGCGGUGGCGCCAUCUCUGGGCGUCCGUGCCCUGCGUCGAUCUCCGCGUGCGCCCCUCCACUAGCCGCUACAGCGACCCGCCUGAGAAGUUCCGCGACUUCGUGCACCGGCUCUUCCUCCUCCGGGACGAAUCGGCGCCCGUGGUCAUGCUCCGCCUGCGGCCGAGCGACGAAGAAGCGGGCUUCACCGAUGACGACGCCAGCGCGUGGAUGAUGGCCGCCAUCAAGCGCAACGCGCGGGUUAUCCAUCUCACCGGGCAUUGCUCAGAGAUCGUGUCAUUGGACCGCGUGUCGUUCAUCUCUUGCCACCUCAAGGUCUUGAAGCUGUCGGAUGCCAUGCUCGACUACAGGAUCCUCGGGCAGCUUUCUUCUAGUUGCACGGCUUUGGAAGUACUACGUCUGAAGGAUUGCUUGGUGUUGGUGGCGGGCCCUUGGUGUUUGAAGACAUUAAUCAUGCUCGAAUGCGAGAUCAGUUGCGCCUUCUCCAUUGCUGCUCCGAACCUCCUACUUCUGCACCUCAUCACACCUUAUGUCCGAGUCCCAUCAUUCAAGAAUUUGGGGUCACUUGUCACAGCUACUAUCAUACUUGAUGACUCUUUCUUGGGUGAUGACAAUGAAUGCAUCGGUGAUGAAGAUUAUUGUGAUGGAACUAUUGAUGACGACGGGGAUGAUAGCGACGAUAAUGAUUGGACAGAGAGCUCGAAGAUUCAUGAUGAGUCUUCCUUGAGUGAUAAUAUUGGAUAUGAUGAUUUUAUAAGGUUUGGAUACGGAUAUGGUUUUGCUGAAGGAAUUUACAGGCAUGAUCGUUACAAGGAUAAUUAUGAUUGUGGUGGUGAUAUCGACAGCGAUGAAAAUACCUAUGCAUACAGUGAGAUUGCAAAUGAUGCAAAGUAUGGCUACAAAGGCAAAGGCCUGAUUUCCAGUAAAGACAGUAUCUAUGGUGGAUAUAGAGAAUGCAAUGAUGCGAAGAUUUUAGGUGGCCGUCAUAUUCUUCAGAGUCUUUCAAGUGCUAGAACUUUGGAGUUGUUGACUGAUGCUAGAGAGGUUGUUCUGAGCAGGGAACUGAAUACAUGUCCAAUUUUUGGCAACCUGAAGACCCUGUCUCUUGGCGAAUGGUGUAUGACUGCAGACUUUGAUGCAUCAAUUUUCUUGCUGCAGCACUCACCUAAUAUACAGAAGCUCUUUCUCCAACUUAAAAUUAACUUCAAUGCCAGAGAGGCAUCAGAAACAGGUAUCAAACUAUAG